CCAUUCUCAGCACAGCCAGAAGGGGAGAGAGGAAGAGGAAGUGGGUAGGAGAAAGGGAACAUCAGGGUACAGGGUGCUAGGCAAAAGUGUUCUUAGAAAAACCGAGGCUGGUUAUCUGAAACCCUGACUGCUCUUUGGGGAUCCCCAAACGCGCAUGGCCAGGCCCCAGCACUGUCGCCAGCCUCCACCCUCACUCUCGGAGCCGAAGGUGCAGAGGCCGGGUUGGCCUUGACCCCAGCCUGCUCCACAGCCCACACUUCCCGGUCCGGUCCUCCGCGCCGCUCCGCUCCGCCUCCCCAGGACUCCCUGGUUCCUCGUGCACCUCUCCGUCCUCAACAGGCCCCAGGCCCGUAAGGCCAUGACUAGCAGCUCGUCCGCGAGGGUUAGUGCUCGGACUCUGGAAUCAAGUCCUCGGGAUGCACUCCAAAGCAGGCUCCGGCUUCCAGGUCGCUGCGUCCACAUCCAGGGAAGCGCUGGCCGCACCCGGGCGCGCCGGGCCGGGAUCCUCCCCUUCGACCUUCCCCGAGAUCUUGAAUCAGCCUCUGUUAAACACCUCACCCCAGCCCUGCUCACUUCCUUGCACAACUGCAAAGGCUCUCCUUUGCUCUGCUGCUCACUGACAGUAAUCCACAGGAGCACAAGACCUUUAAGAACACAGAUCAGAAACCCACAGAGCAGGCUUUCCCCGACACGUGGCCUUAGCCUUGCAGGUCCCCACGCCCGGAUCGCCCUCUCAGGCUCCUUCACAAGACCGUCGCUCUCCCACUGCCCUUCCACAACCCCACCUGCUCAAUCCCCACUGCCUCGCCACCUUCUGCCUUUCUUCCAGGGGGUUCACCACCUUCUGCAGUUCUCUCAUUGGCCUCAUUUGUGGGUCUGGAAUUCAUACUGGCCUUGGACUCACUGUGUAGCCCAGGCUGGCCUCGAACUCAUGGUGAUCCGUCCGCCUCAGCCUCCUGAGUGCUGGGAUUAUAGGUGUGGGCCACCACGCCAGCUGGAACUCCGCUUUGAUACCUCCUGAACCACAGCCCACUGCUGUGUGGCCAUCCGGGCAGGAGACCUGGCUGUCCUCAAUCAUCACUUCCUCUGCACUUGGCCUGGCACAGAGCAGAAGUCCGUAGGUGUUUGUUGGGUGGAUUCCCGAGUGAGGGGAUGAUCUAGGGAGGAGGAAAAGAUGGAGUGAAUGCAGCAGGGACUAGAGACGCCAACAAUCUCUGAGGCUCAGUUUCUUCAUCUGUAAAAGAUGGUGAUGAGGCUCUGGCCCCCUUUCUGGCUCCAGUGUGAGUCAGCUGCGAUGGGGCAGGAACCCAGAGGCCACUCCCUGCUGUCUAGGCCUGGCUCCAGGAAUGGGUAGGAGGCGCUGAAAUGACCAGAGUUCCCCUCCCCCACCCCCCGUCCCCCAGAAUUUAUAGAUUCUUCAUUGUCCUGCACAAAGGCCUUCUUGGGAGGGGCGGGGUGGGUGAGGAGACAGGGGAAUUAAAAAGUCAGAGGGUGAGUAACAGCCAGCCACACCCAGGGCCCCAUGAAUCCGCCUGGGCCCCUGUGAGACCACUGACUUGCCCUCAGAGGCUUACAGGGCUCCUGCUGCAGGGACCAGCUCGCCCUGCUCUCAGCCCUGGUGGCAGAGGGAUGGGGGCAUGUGAAUGUGUGAGGGGUGGCUCGCCUUGUGCGAUCUCCGAUCUGACCUCUGCGAGUCCUUCCUCCCAUCUUGCUCCCUGGUGGGUGGUCAGCUGUCGUUCUAGUUCGCUGCUGUUGGUUCUGAGCAGGAAAAUGUACAGUCUGCGGGUGCCUGCUUCUCUGAUGAGAAGGUCCCGAGGCCCAGACUCCAGGAAACAGCCUCCUCCCCCACUCUGGCCCCUUGGGUAGAAUUGACAGAUGGUGCCCUGUUAACAGAUGACAUUGGAAAUCGGAAUUACUCAGCUGCUUGUCCCUCUGUCAUCCCCACGGAAGGGGGUGGCCUGCAAACUGGGAACGACAGUGAACUCUAUUUUGAGGGCUAUAGAGGACAGGGAAGGAGAUGCUCCAGGGCACAGGGGACCAGAACCAGGUACACAGAAGAUCUAACUUGGAAUCUCAUCUCUACCACGUACCAGCCAGGUGACCUAGGUGCAUCCAUCACCGUCUGAGCCUCUGCUCCCUCAUCUGUCAAAUGGGUCCAUGGGAAACUGUCCUACUCUCCUCCCUGGCUUUUAGGAAGAAAAUGGGGUGGUUUGUGCUUAUAAAAUGGGCUUUAAAACUUGUGAAGGAGUAAAAAAUGUAAGAAGUUGCUGAUUAUAAACAAUAAAUGGCAGCCCAUUCGUUGUUCAUAAAA
This 2311-nucleotide long non-coding RNA is filed under the name Heterocephalus glaber (naked mole-rat). RNAcentral describes it as "lncRNA (ENSHGLG00100031948.2)". The record is from RNAcentral. Lineage: Eukaryota; Metazoa; Chordata; Mammalia; Rodentia; Bathyergidae.